AGAUGAGGAGUCCUAAAUAGGACGAAACACGCGUCCU
This 37-nucleotide non-coding RNA is filed under the name Schistosoma curassoni. Lineage: Eukaryota; Metazoa; Platyhelminthes; Trematoda; Strigeidida; Schistosomatidae. The record is from RNAcentral.